Molecule: ribosomal RNA, 433 nt
Filed under: Acinetobacter baumannii OIFC032
Lineage: Bacteria; Pseudomonadati; Pseudomonadota; Gammaproteobacteria; Moraxellales; Moraxellaceae
Description: bacterial SSU rRNA
Rfam family: Bacterial small subunit ribosomal RNA
Source: RNAcentral
AUGCAAGUCGAGCGGGGGAAGGUAGCCUGCUACUGGACCUAGCGGCGGACGGGUGAGUAAUGCUUAGGAAUCUGCCUAUUAGUGGGGGACAACAUCUCGAAAGGGAUGCUAAUACCGCAUACGUCCUACGGGAGAAAGCAGGGGAUCUUCGGACCUUGCGCUAAUAGAUGAGCCUAAGUCGGAUUAGCUAGUUGGUGGGGUAAAGGCCUACCAAGGCGACGAUCUGUAGCGGGUCUGAGAGGAUGAUCCGCCACACUGGGACUGAGACACGGCCCAGACUCCUACGGGAGGCAGCAGUGGGGAAUAUUGGACAAUGGGGGGAACCCUGAUCCAGCCAUGCCGCGUGUGUGAAGAAGGCCUUAUGGUUGUAAAGCACUUUAAGCGAGGAGGAGGCUACUUUAGUUAAUACCUAGAGAUAGUGGACGUUACUCGC